RNAcentral lists this transfer RNA (64 nucleotides) under Margaritifera laevis. Its description in RNAcentral is "tRNA-Met". The record is from RNAcentral. Lineage: Eukaryota; Metazoa; Mollusca; Bivalvia; Unionida; Margaritiferidae.
AAUAGGGUAAGCUAAGCAAGCUAUUGGGCUCAUAACUCAAAAAUAGAUAUAAUUCUUCCUAUUA